UGCCUACGGGGCGCAGCAGUCGAGAAUCAUUCACAAUGGGGGAAACCCUGAUGGUGCGACGCCGCGUGGGGGAAUGAAGGUCUUCGGAUCGUAAAGUUCUGUUGAAGGGGAAAAAGAGCGGAGAGAGGAAAUGGUCUCCGAUUGAUAUUACCCUUCGAGGAAGUCACGGUUAACUACGUGCCAGCAGCCGCGGUAAUACGUAGGUGGCGAGCGUUAUCCGGAAUGAUUGGGCGUAAAGGGUGCGUAGGCGGCCUGCUAAGUCUGGAGUGAAAGGUACCGGCUCAACCGGUACAGGCUCUGGACAC
RNAcentral lists this ribosomal RNA (305 nucleotides) under uncultured bacterium. RNAcentral describes it as "bacterial SSU rRNA". It matches the Rfam family "Bacterial small subunit ribosomal RNA", at positions 335 to 633 of the family's 1533-position model. The record is from RNAcentral.